This 438-nucleotide ribosomal RNA is filed under the name uncultured bacterium. Its description in RNAcentral is "partial 16S ribosomal RNA". It matches the Rfam family "Bacterial small subunit ribosomal RNA", at positions 339 to 795 of the family's 1533-position model. The record is from RNAcentral.
CUACGGGCGGCACCAGUGAGGAAUAUUGCACAAUGGGGGGAACCCUGAUGCAGCAAAGCCGCGUGGAGGAUGACGCAUUUCGGUGUGUAAACUCCUUUUAUAUGUCAAGAAAAUGACGGUAGCAUAUGAAUAAGCACCGGCUAACUCCGUGCCAGCAGCCGCGGUAAUAGGAGGGUGCAAGCGUUACUCGGAAUCACUGGGCGUAAAGGACGCGUAGGCGGGUUGGAAAGUCAGGUGUGAAAUCCUACAGCUUAACUGUAGAACUGCACUUGAAACUUCUAAUCUAGAGUAUGGGAGGGGGAGAUGGAAUUAGUGGUGUAGGGGUAAAAUCCGUAGAUAUCACUAGGAAUACCUAAAGCGAAGGCGAUCUCCUGGAACAUUACUGACGCUAAGGCGUGAAAGCGUGGGGAGCAAACAGGAUUAGAUACCCGGGUAGUC